Long non-coding RNA from Perognathus longimembris pacificus (Pacific pocket mouse), 2509 nucleotides. RefSeq lists it as uncharacterized. The transcript is spliced from 3 exons. The record is from RefSeq and is a predicted model, not a curated record. NCBI's taxonomy places the organism in Eukaryota, Metazoa, Chordata, Mammalia, Rodentia, Heteromyidae.
GAGCUCUCGACUCUGAGAUGAUGUUGAGGUGGGAGGGGCUGGCUGGUGCUCCUCCACUUGGAGAUGACACUCAGUGGGGAGGAGGAGCAACUGGGCACCCCUCAGCAGCCACCACAGCCUGGUCUGUCCACAUUUAGAUCACAAAGGUUCCUUAGAGGUCCUUGAGGCCUGUCAUGCCCUGGCAGCUUUGUAGAUGGAAAGCAGGGAGUCGAAUCUGUUUGUGGGACUGGAACCCAGACGCUGUACCCCAUCAGCCAUACCAGAUGCUUGCAAGACGGAGCCAGUCCUGGCUUUGUGCUGCUCAACUGUGUUCUCAGCGGAGGUCACCUUGUGUGAUGUUCCCACAGCCUGCCAGCAGUAGUUCCCCCUCCCACUUUCCAGAUGAGGAAACUGACAGGUGGCUUCACACCCUGGCCUCCUCACCUGCCUGGACAACCCAGCUCAUAGGUGACAAUGAGCUCAUCAAGGGGCAGAGCCCAGCACAAAGCCUAGCCUGGGGGUGGGGCUCUGGAAGUUUCCAUCAAGUAAAGGCAAGACUAAAGCAGCUUGGCCCAGAAGGGACUGCAGCAACAAGGCCCGGCAAAGCCAAGCCCUCCUGGGCCCUCAGUUUCCUCAUCUGCCAAAUGGGGCUAUGGGCCCAGAUUCCCUAUGUUCUCCUAGCUCCAUCACCCACAGAGGACAACACCAGGACCCUCCCAUGCCCCAGCCUAAGACCCCCAGCAAGGCCCAGCACUGGUGCUCUGGGCUCAAGUCAGGCCUGGGAGUGAGCUGUAUCCCCUCUCUGGGUCUCAGUUUCUACAUCUGUGAAGUGGGGUGCUGGACAAGAUUGUCUAAGGCCUGUCCUGGCUGUGCUCUGCCUCCGGGGCCUAGCAGGGCCCGUCUGGGCCAGCCAGAGCAGCUCACCACAUCCUCUAGCAUCCCACAGACUCCUGCCGGCCAAGUGUGGACAUGAGCCUGCUGCUCCCAGCACCCACAACAGUUUCUAGACUGCCUGUGCCCUAGACUCCACUCAGUGGAGCAAAAACACCCUCAGACACAGUGGGUAGACAGGCCUUCCAGGAAGUGCUGAGGAGGAGGAGGCCUAUAAGACAGGCAGCCGGUGUAAACACAGCUAAGAAAGCGCUAUGCACAGCCCAGCUUCUGCGGCAGCCUCUCUUGGGAUCCCAAGAUCCUCUUUCUAAAACACCCUGCCUCAGACCACCAGUUCUCUAUACAAGCUGCUUCCUGGCAGGUGCUUACUAAUUCUGCCUCUUUCUAGACAACUUCUAUCCAUCCAUCCUUUGAAACCCAACUUGAGUACUGCCCAUAGCUCAUUGCUCUGGCCCAUCUGGCUGAAUUAAGCAUGUUAUCUAUCACUUGUGCAUUUCUGGUGAUGCCAAAGCAGCAAGUCCCUCCAGGCCUGGACCCUGAGAUGGGACUAGGGAAGGGUUUCCAGUGACAGACUGUGGAGCCCCCUGCAGGUGCUCAGGGAGCCAGCAGUGGAGAGACACACCCCAGACUCCCUGGAGUCCCCAAGUGGCCUCCACAGAGUACACACUGGGAACAAGUAAUCUUCUCCAUAGGGGAGGUGGGAUGGGGACAGAAGCUGCAAAUCUGGGUCUGUCCUUUGCUGGGACGGUGGACACCCAGCCAGCAGCUGGGCAGCCGGCGUGCCAGGCACUGAGAACUGCCCUCCCAGACCCACCACUGGCUGGAGCUGGACCCAGCUGGUUUGGGGCCUUAAGGAGUGUCUCUCUGCAGCCUGCUUGUGCUUCUUCCUCUAGACCUCCCCGUCCCAAUGCUUGCCAGAGUCCAUGGCCCUGAGCAGUGACUACUUUCUCCCCGCCCCAACACUGUAGUCCCAUCACUGACCCCACGGGCCUAGCACCCCUGCCUUUCAGUCUCUAUUCCACCAAGGCUCUUCUGGUCAGAGCACAGGGGUGUUGAGCUCCUGCUCAGAGCCCUGGCUCCCCCAGCUGCACAACCUGGGCAGGCAGAGCCACCAGGACCGGAGAUGAGCAAGCAUCUCCACCAUGAGGCCUACCUGGGAGUCCUCUCUCCCCAUUUAUAACUCCUGACACCCAGACCCUCAGUGGUUCUGUCUCUCCUCUCCUUCUUACCAAUACAGAGCCUCCAGGUUCCUUCACAAAGGGCGAAUGGCCUAUUUCUGGUUGCCAGGGCUGAAAGGGUUGGGCACGCACACCCCAGCUGCCCAUCCCCAUAGAGUCCUGGGAAGUUAAGAGUAAACAGGAAAGUCCCAUGAACCCUUCCCCAAUUCCCCUCCAGCAGUAAUAUCUUGCAUAGCUGCAAGUUCUUUGCAUCUGAAGUUCACUCAGCUGUCACUAGUCACAUAUACUCUGUGUGUGUCCAAAUAAGCCUUGUCAUACGUGUUGGUUUGUAUAACCACCAACAUGGUGGGUGGGUGUAGUGGCACAUGUAUGUAAUCUUAACACUGUAGAAGCUAAGACAAAAGGAUCAUAAGCUUGAGGCCAGCCUGGGCUUAAAACAGCAAGACUCUUCUACCACCCUU